GUGUGCCUACGGGGCGCAGCAGUGGGGAAUAUUGCAUAAUGGGGGAAACCCUGAUGCAGCGACGCCGCGUGAGUGAAGAAGUAUCUCGGUAUGUAAAGCUCUAUCAGCAGGAAAGAUAAUGACGGUACCUGACUAAGAAGCCCCGGCUAACUACGUGCCAGCAGCCGCGGUAAUACGUAGGGGGCAAGCGUUAUCCGGAUUUACUGGGUGUAAAGGGAGCGUAGACGGCAGCGCAAGUCUGGAGUGAAAUCCCAUGGCUUAACCAUGGAACUGCUUUGGAAACUGUGCAGCUAGAGUGCAGGAGA
Molecule: ribosomal RNA, 305 nt
Filed under: uncultured bacterium
Lineage: Bacteria
Description: bacterial SSU rRNA
Rfam family: Bacterial small subunit ribosomal RNA
Source: RNAcentral